Molecule: long non-coding RNA, 553 nt
Organism: Astyanax mexicanus (Mexican tetra)
Lineage: Eukaryota; Metazoa; Chordata; Actinopteri; Characiformes; Acestrorhamphidae
Exons: 3
Source: RefSeq, a predicted model, not a curated record
UGUGUAACGGCUGUGUGUGUUUACACGCAGCGGCUUGUAGUGACGGAGAGAGUGAAAGUGAGCGGAGCGGAUCAGCGUGACAAACAGCCGCUCGCUCUCUCUCUCCACUGAUCUCGGAUCGGUUUCACCCAGUGUAUCGAGAGCCCGAUUCGCCGGAGGAGUUCUGAGACACCAUGUUGGUCGUAAUGAGGAUGUUCUUGGAGCCGAUGAGGGAGGGGUUGAUGAGGACAUUCUGGACUGUGCCUGGAGUAGUCGGGGUGGCUGUAAAUAUAACCAGUGUGACAACAGUUAUUACUAAUAGGAGAAGCAGCCUGUGAGGAGGGGAUCUGAACAGUGAAGCGCUGGCCUGUCAGUGACACAGGGGUUCCCACUUUACUGCCCAUUGUCUGCACUGAGGGGGUACCUGAAAACCAGCAAAAAAAAGCACAAUGAUGCUCAGGAUUCAGCUCAUGAAACAAAUCCCUUAAUUCCCAAGUUCUGGGAACUGUGUUUAUUACUAAAAUUUAUGCCAAAACAAAAAAGGACAAAAGAGUAAAACAGAGAAUCACAAAUA